This 318-nucleotide ribosomal RNA is filed under the name uncultured Pseudomonadota bacterium. RNAcentral's name for it is "bacterial SSU rRNA". It matches the Rfam family "Bacterial small subunit ribosomal RNA", at positions 30 to 351 of the family's 1533-position model. The record is from RNAcentral. Lineage: Bacteria; Pseudomonadati; Pseudomonadota.
AUUGAACGCUGGCGGUAUGCUUUACACAUGCAAGUCGAACGGCAGCACGGGGCAACCUGGUGGCGAGUGGCGAACGGGUGAGUAACAUAUCGGAACAUGUCCGGAAGUGGGGGAUAACGUAGCGAAAGUUACGCUAAUACCGCAUAUGCCCUGAGGGGGAAAGGGGGGAUCGCAAGACCUCUCGCUUUCGGAGUGGCCGAUAUCGGAUUAGCUAGAUGGUGAGGUAAAGGCUCACCAUGGCGACGAUCCGUAGCUGGUCUGAGAGGACGACCAGCCACACUGGAACUGAGACACGGUCCAGACUCCUACGGGUGGCAG